Molecule: ribosomal RNA, 831 nt
Filed under: uncultured Planctomycetota bacterium
Lineage: Bacteria; Pseudomonadati; Planctomycetota
Description: bacterial SSU rRNA
Rfam family: Bacterial small subunit ribosomal RNA
Source: RNAcentral
AGAGUUUGAUCCUGGCUCAGAACGAACGCUGGCGGCAUGGCUAAGACAUGCAAGUCGUACGGACCUUUUUCGGAAGGUUAGUGGCGAACGGGAGAGUAAUACUUAGGUUAUGUACCCUGGACACCGGAAUAACUGCGGGCUUUGCCCUUUAGCGAAAGUGCAGCUAAUACCGGAUGAUAUCGAGAGAUCAAAGGUGGGGACCUUCGGGCCUGCCGGUCUUGGAUCAGCCUAAGUCCUAUCAGCUUGUUGGCGGGGUAACGGCCCACCAAGGCGACGACGGGUAGCGGGCGUGAGAGCGUGGCCCGCCUCAUCGGGACUGAGACACUGCCCGGACACCUACGGGUGGCUGCAGUAACGAAUAUUGGGCAAUGGGCGCAAGCCUGACCCAGCAAUGCCGCGUGCAGGAGGAAGCCCCUCGGGGUGUAAACUGCUGUCAGGGUUUCGCAAGCAAGGGACGUAAAUAGCGUUCUGCGUUGAGCAGACCCAAAGGAAGCCUCGGCUAACUCUGUGCCAGCAGCCGCGGUAAGACAGAGGAGGCAAGCGUUGUUCGGAUUUAUUGGGCUUAAAGAGCGCGUAGGCGGCCAAGCAGGUGUCCUGUGAAAUCCCUCGGCUCAACCGAGGAAUAGCAGGGCAAACCGCUUGGCUUGAGGUUGUCAGGGGUGUCUGGAACUCUAGGUGGAGCGGUGAAAUGCGUAGAUAUCUAGAGGAACGCCAGAGGCGAAAGCGAGACACUGGGACAAUUCUGACGCUGAGGCGCGAAAGCGUGGGGAGCAAACAGGAUUAGAUACCCUGGUAGUCCACGCCGUAAACGAUGCACACUAGAUCUAGGGG